This 414-nucleotide ribosomal RNA is filed under the name uncultured microorganism. Its description in RNAcentral is "bacterial SSU rRNA". It matches the Rfam family "Archaeal small subunit ribosomal RNA", at positions 330 to 745 of the family's 1478-position model. The record is from RNAcentral.
GUGCAGCAGGCGCGAAACUUCACAAUGUGCGAAAGCACGAUGAGGGAAUCCCAAGUGCUUGCACGUAAGUGUAAGCUGUUUCUCUGUCUAAAACGCAGAGAGAGUAAGGGCUGGGUAAGACGGGUGCCAGCCGCCGCGGUAAUACCUGCAGCUCGAGUGGUGACCGUUAUUAUUGGGCCUAAAACGUCCGUAGCCGGUUUAAUAAAUGCCUGGGUAAAUCGGACCGCUUAACGGUUCGAAUUCCGGGUAGACUGUUAAACUUGAGACCGGGAGAAGUUAGAGGUACUCCUGGGGUAGAGGUGAAAUUCUGUAAUCCUAGGGGGACCACCAGUGGCGAAGGCGUCUAACUAGAACGGGUCUGACGGUGAGGGACGAAGCCCUGGGGCGCAAACGGGAUUAGAUACCCCGGGGUAU